CCUACGGGUGGCAGCAGUGGGGAAUAUUGGACAAUGGGCGAAAGCCUGAUCCAGCCAUGCCGCGUGUGUGAAGAAGGCCUUCGGGUUGUAAAGCACUUUCAGUGGGGAAGAAAGCCUUGGGGCUAAUACCCUCGAGGAAGGACAUCACCUACAGAAGAAGCACCGGCUAACUCCGUGCCAGCAGCCGCGGUAAUACGGAGGGUGCGAGCGUUAAUCGGAAUUACUGGGCGUAAAGCGCGCGUAGGCGGUCUGAUAAGCCGGUUGUGAAAGCCCCGGGCUCAACCUGGGAACGGCAUCCGGAACUGUCAGGCUAGAGUGCAGGAGAGGAAGGUAGAAUUCCCGGUGUAGCAGUGAAAUGCGUAGAGAUCGGGAGGAAUACCAGUGGCGAAGGCGGCCUUCUGGACUGACACUGACGCUGAGGUGCGAAAGCGUGGGUAGCAAACAGGAUUAGAUACCCCAGUAGUC
Molecule: ribosomal RNA, 465 nt
Filed under: Vreelandella stevensii
Lineage: Bacteria; Pseudomonadati; Pseudomonadota; Gammaproteobacteria; Oceanospirillales; Halomonadaceae
Description: partial 16S ribosomal RNA
Rfam family: Bacterial small subunit ribosomal RNA
Source: RNAcentral